RNAcentral lists this ribosomal RNA (406 nucleotides) under uncultured bacterium. Its description in RNAcentral is "partial 16S ribosomal RNA". It matches the Rfam family "Bacterial small subunit ribosomal RNA", at positions 30 to 526 of the family's 1533-position model. The record is from RNAcentral.
AUUGAACGCUGGCGGCAGGCCUAACACAUGCAAGUCGAGCGAGCGGCGGACGGGUGAGGAAUGUCUGGGAAACUGCCUGAUGGAGGGGGAUAACUACUGGAAACGGUAGCUAAUACCGCAUACCAUCAGAUGUGCCCAGAUGGGAUUAGCUAUGAGGUGGGGUAACGGCUCACCUAGGCGACGAUCCCUAGCUGGUCUGAGAGGAUGACCAGCCCCCCGGCACCUGCGACACGGUCCAGACUCCUCCGGGAGGCAGCAGUGGGGACUCUUGCACAUUCGGCGCAAGCCUGAUGCAGCCAUGCCGCGUGUGUGAAGAAGGCCUUCGGGUUGUACAGCACUUUCAGCGGGGAGGCGUUACCCGCAGAAGAAGCACCGGCUAACUCCGUGCCAGCAGCCGCGGUAAUUC